GAUGAACGCUGGCGGCGUGCCUAAUACAUGCAAGUCGAGCGAACAGACGAGGAGCUUGCUCCUCUGACGUUAGCGGCGGACGGGUGAGUAACACGUGGAUAACCUACCUAUAAGACUGGGAUAACUUCGGGAAACCGGAGCUAAUGCCGGAUAAUAUAUUGAACCGCAUGGUUCAAUAGUGAAAGAUGGUUUUGCUGUCACUUAUAGAUGGAUCCGCGCCGCAUUAGCUAGUUGGUAAGGUAACGGCUUACCAAGGCAACGAUGCGUAGCCGACCUGAGAGGGUGAUCGGCCACACUGGAACUGAGACACGGUCCAGACUCCUACGGGAGGCAGCAGUAGGGAAUCUUCCGCAAUGGGCGAAAGCCUGACGGAGCAACGCCGCGUGAGUGAUGAAGGUCUUCGGAUCGUAAAACUCUGUUAUUAGGGAAGAACAAAUGUGUAAGUAACUGUGCACGUCUUGACGGUACCUAAUCAGAAAGCCACGGCUAACUACGUG
Molecule: ribosomal RNA, 497 nt
Filed under: uncultured bacterium
Lineage: Bacteria
Description: partial 16S ribosomal RNA
Rfam family: Bacterial small subunit ribosomal RNA
Source: RNAcentral